RNAcentral lists this unclassified non-coding RNA (277 nucleotides) under uncultured fungus. Its description in RNAcentral is "partial contains 5.8S ribosomal RNA, internal transcribed spacer 2, and large subunit ribosomal RNA". Lineage: Eukaryota; Fungi. The record is from RNAcentral.
AACGCACCUUGCGCCUUUUGGUAUUCUGAAAGGCAUGCCUGUUUGAGUGUCAUGAAAUCUCAAUGCCCCCCGGGUUUCUGACCUGUGGUGGACUUGGACCUGGGCACUGCCGUCUGACGGCUUGCCUCAAAUGACCAAGUGGGAUCAGCAUCCACGGCCUGAUGUAAUAAGUCUCGUCUGGCCCGAUGUGAGGCCUGCUCACAACCCCGGCGCCUUGUUGUGGCGCUUGACACUUUUGACUGACCUCAAAUCAGGUAGGGCUACCCGCUGAACUUAA